RNAcentral lists this transfer RNA (72 nucleotides) under Ovis aries (sheep). It matches the Rfam family "tRNA". Rfam says of the family: Transfer RNA (tRNA) molecules are approximately 80 nucleotides in length. Their secondary structure includes four short double-helical elements and three loops (D, anti-codon, and T loops). The record is from Rfam by way of RNAcentral. Lineage: Eukaryota; Metazoa; Chordata; Mammalia; Artiodactyla; Bovidae.
UCCCUGGUGGCUCAGUUGGUAAAGAACCUGCCUGCAACGUAGGAGACCUGGGUUUGAUCCCUAGGUUGGGAA